GAUGAAGAACGUAGUGAAAUGCGAUAAGUAAUGUGAAUUGCAGAAUUCAGUGAAUCAUCGAAUCUUUGAACGCACAUUGCGCCCGCUGGUAUUCCGGCGGGCAUGCCUGUUCGAGCGUCAUUUCAACCCUCAAGCCCCCGGGUUUGGUGUUGGGGAUCGGCUCUGCCCUUCUGGGCGGUGCCGCCCCCGAAAUACAUUGGCGGUCUCGCUGCAGCCUCCAUUGCGUAGUAGCUAACACCUCGCAACUGGAACGCGGCGCGGCCAUGCCGUAAAACCCCAACUUCUGAAUGUUGACCUCGGAUCAGGUAGGAAUACCCGCUGAACUUAAGCAUACAAUAAGCGGAGGA
Molecule: unclassified non-coding RNA, 347 nt
Filed under: soil metagenome
Description: partial contains 5.8S ribosomal RNA, internal transcribed spacer 2, and large subunit ribosomal RNA
Rfam family: 5.8S ribosomal RNA (bases 1-120)
Source: RNAcentral